Long non-coding RNA from Pyrus x bretschneideri (Chinese white pear), 1912 nucleotides. RefSeq lists it as uncharacterized. The record is from RefSeq and is a predicted model, not a curated record. The transcript is spliced from 2 exons. Lineage: Eukaryota; Viridiplantae; Streptophyta; Magnoliopsida; Rosales; Rosaceae.
CUCAUUCCUUCCCCGAUGCUUCUUUUUCCGUUUCUUCUUCCAUGCCAUUUUUUUAUUUUAGCCCAGAUUUUGUUCAGUAGCCUUGCCAUUGAUGGAAGCAGAUCUUUUUGUUUCAGUUCUCAAACCAUUGAGGUACAGGACCUAAGUAACUAGUCUAGCUUAUUGCAAACCCAACUUUCCAAAAUAAAAAAGAGACUAAGGUGAAUACCUGAAAAUUUGUUCAUAGAAAAAUGACACUGGGGGUUGAAGAAGAACCCGAAAAUUUGGAGGACACUAACCACGUGAUGAUUAUUAGCAACCCCAUAUAUGAAGGUAAUUAUUUUUAUUAUUUAUUGGCAUUCGGGUUCUACUUAUCUGUUAAUUUGAUUCAAGAAAUUGGAGUUUUAGUUUCAUUUUUCUUUUAUGAAAAGCUUGGAAAAUUUGUAUAUACCAUUUACUGGAGGUUUGUAAUUCUUAGAUUAAUAGAGUAAACAAAACGGUUUGAAUGAAACCCACUCGAUAUAAAUGUAUAUACCCCAUGCAUACAAACAAGCACAUACAUAUUUUUAUAGCUCUAAAAUCUUCAACGAAGUGGGAUAUAACUUUUAAAAACUUUUAAGAAGUGCAAUAUUUAUAAAUUUGUAAGCAAUUGAGAUUUCCUUUUUUUGUUUUUUUUUUUUUCUGCUACUCGGUCGUAUUGUCAUCUUGUUGUGCAUCUCUUUCAAAAUCUUGGUAUUUAAUUAUCUGAUCUUUGUGUUCCAUUACCUGUGUUUAAAUUCUUUGGGGAAGGAAUGGAAGAUUCAUUUAGAGAGUUGCUUAACCAGAUUCGAACACAUAAGGUAUCCUCUGCAUCCAAGUGUAGGUUUCAUAUGAAGAAAUUUAGUGUAUAUACCCACCCGAUGUUAGAAUUCUUGCGCUUGACAGGGUCAGCACUAUGAAGUGUUCAUAUUGUCCAGUUCAAAAUUUUUAAUUUUAUUUUUUAAAUUAUCUAAUUAUUGUAAUUGGCCUAGCUUUCCAAUAUUAUAUGCUACUGAAUGUUGCCACUGAUGAUAAUUGGAAGUUGCGGAAACAAUGUACUGCCUUAGACUGUAGCAAUUUAUAAUUUGAUUACUUAUUAAUUUGGUAAUGUAUGUGAAUAGUAGUGAGUAUGACAUCAUUGGAGUUUUAGCAAGAAAGCAUUGACAAUUACUUACAAAGACUAAAAAGUAUAAUUUUCUAAGUAUCCUUCCUCUGUAGUUUUCAAGUGACCUUGUGUUACCUUUAGGCCUGAUGCUACUGCACCUCUUGAUACUAAUGCAAUCCAAUUUUCCAUUGGCAAGAAAAUUUACAAAAGCAGCAAAUUAUGUCGUUACAAUGCACUAGUCAGGUAAAGCAUUACUUUUUUUCUGUUUCGAGAAAGUUUUUUAAGGUGUUAUUUACUUACUGAUAUUGGCAAACAUAAUAUCACCACGGAGUUGAAGCCGUUGGUUGAUGCGAAAAUAAAGUAGGUCCUCGGAGUUGACGACUUUGAUUUGGAGGGUGUGUUGCCAGAAGGGUUCUUGGAGAAAAUCAUUUAUGGGCAGCAAAGAUUGGGAAAGAAGGAUGAUAGCAAAGAUGAGUGUUUUGAUGAGUCUGCAAGUACAAGGCCAUACCUUUUUGAAGCUUGGGAGGUCAGGGAGAAGAGGAAGAUAGAAAAACCAUUGAUGAAUUGGAGGUUUUCUGCAUUGAAGAAUGAAAUUGACAUGAAAGACAAUCUUAAAUAGUGGGCUCAUAUUGUUGCUUCUGCAGUUAGAUGACGAACAUUCUUGUUCUAAGAUUUUUUGUACUUUUUUUCUGGUUUGGAUUUUGCUCCAAUUUUUUGGACACUAUUUGUAUAUAGUAGAUUUACCAGGUCAAUCAAUAUUGUUCUACAACUUGUAAAUGUGAAUAAAAAGUAGAAACAUUUUCAUGAUCA